ACUAAAAUAAUGUUGUAGGAAGCCUAAUAUUUUUUUUAAGUAUGUUCAUGAUAUUCUGAAUACACUGUUAAUGUUCCUUAGAGAAACAGUCUCACCAUACUUAUAAGUAAGUAUUAAAAAAAAGGUUAUACAUACUGUCUGUGCAUCAGGUUUAUUGUGUUCUGUUAGAUUAUACAUAAGAUUUGUGCAUCAGGUUUAUUGUGUUCUGUUAGAUUAUACAUACUGUGUGUGCAUCAGGUUUAUUGUGUUCUAUGUUAGAUUAUACAUACUGUGUGUGCAUCAGGUUUAUUGUGUUCUAUGUUAGAUUAUACAUACUGUUUGUGCAUCAGGUUUAUUGUGUUCUGUGUUAGAUUAUACAUACUGUGUGUGCAUCAGGUUUAUUGUGUUCUAUGUUAGAUUAUACAUACUGUUUG
This is a long non-coding RNA of Mytilus californianus (California mussel), 413 nucleotides long. RefSeq lists it as uncharacterized. The record is from RefSeq and is a predicted model, not a curated record. The transcript has 3 exons. NCBI's taxonomy places the organism in Eukaryota, Metazoa, Mollusca, Bivalvia, Mytilida, Mytilidae.